CAGUAGCCGCGGGAAUACGUAGGUGGCAAGCGUUGCCCGGAAUUAUUGGGCGUAAAGGGCUCGCAGGCGGUUUCUUAAGUCUGAUGUGAAAGCCCCCGGCUCAACCGGGGAGGGUCAUUGGAAACUGGGAAACUUGAGUGCAGAAGAGGAGAGUGGAAUUCCACGUGUAGCGGUGAAAUGCGUAGAGAUGUGGAGGAACACCAGUGGCGAAGGCGACUCUCUGGUCUGUAACUGACGCUGAGGAGCGAAAGCGUGGGGAGCGAACAGGAUUAGAUACCCGAGUAGUCCCUGUCUCUUAUAC
Molecule: ribosomal RNA, 301 nt
Filed under: uncultured bacterium
Lineage: Bacteria
Description: partial 16S ribosomal RNA
Rfam family: Bacterial small subunit ribosomal RNA
Source: RNAcentral